RNAcentral lists this ribosomal RNA (336 nucleotides) under Triticum aestivum (bread wheat). Its description in RNAcentral is "partial small subunit ribosomal RNA". The record is from RNAcentral. Lineage: Eukaryota; Viridiplantae; Streptophyta; Magnoliopsida; Poales; Poaceae.
AUGUGUAAUGCACAUGCCCGUGUGAUGGAGUACAAAUACAGGCGAACUCGACAACAUGACCAUGGCUCCACGAUUUGUGGUGUGGACAGUGACAACCACUCAAACAAGCUGCGGCAUGGAAGGGGGCAUGUUACCGAUCUACAGAUCAAGGAGGAAAGUGCUGCGGGGGUUGCUCCGGCGAACUGCUUGAGUUACAGGGGAGCUGAAGCAGAGACGGGCGCUGGAGCAGCACCAAGACAUUCAACCGCCAUGACUAUAGGUCAUCGCCGCCCUCCCUUCCGCAACCGAGCUGCAUCGGAGUGCCACCUGAACAGCUCUGCCCUCCACAAAAAAUAG